Long non-coding RNA from Alexandromys fortis (reed vole), 2294 nucleotides. RefSeq lists it as uncharacterized. The transcript has 3 exons. Lineage: Eukaryota; Metazoa; Chordata; Mammalia; Rodentia; Cricetidae. The record is from RefSeq and is a predicted model, not a curated record.
GUCUUGUAUCUUAUCUGUUGAUUUCAUUGGUUAAUAAUAAAGAAACUGCCUCGGCCCUCAUAGGACAGAAAAUUAGGUAGGCGGAGUAGACAGAGGAGAAUGCUGGGAAAAAGAAGCUGAGUAAGAGUCGCCAUGAUGCUCCCGCUCCAGACAGACGCAGGUUAAGAUCCUCCCUGGAUCCGAACCACAGGUGCCAACAGGACAUGUGACCCAAAAGCAAGUAAAUAAAUAAAACGUCUCCUCCUGAAGAAGAGCAUCGUCUACAGAACAGACGACACAACUGGAGGGGACAGCCCUGCGACGUGGCAGCAGACCUCGCAUCGUCUUAGCAUCUUUACGCUCUGUCCGGGACGGUCUCUUGGGGGCUGUGUUCUAAAGGAAGCCUACACCCUCCAUUAUGUCAGCCCUAUGAAACGUUCUCAACAUUUCUCAGAGGAGCAAAAGUGACAGCUAAUGCCAUUCCAGACUCUAAAUAAGGCUGGAUGAGCCCCUCCCAAAAGUCAGCACCAGUGUGGAACCCUAUCCAACCCCCCCUUCAUUGUGCUCCAGGCACAGACUACAGCUCCAUCUAAGGCUGAAGGUGUGGUGCGGGAACAAAAAUCACCGCCUGAAGUACUGAAGAGAACGGCCAGUGGGUAGACAAGCGAUCACAGCCGUCUCAGCAACCCACACUCCCCAAGGCCAUGCAGCUAUCAAUCAGCGAUGGGGAGACAUCUCCACUCAUACCCUGCCAAAGACAUAGACCAUUUUUUCCACCUACUCCAGUCCAUUGAAAUAUGAAUCUAAGUCACAGUCCGUUACUCUUCUGUACCUAAAGGAAAAGAAUGCCAGCAGCCGCUACGGUCACCACCACUCGUGUGGGAAACCUCUGAGGAUGCUGACUCAUCGUUCCUGCUUGAACCAGCGUGCCCUUCAUAAUGGUUUCACUUUUUAGAGACAUCUCUAACAGUAUCUCCUGCUGUGCCACAAAAGGAGAAAACGGCCAUUCUUUUUCCUGCCCUGAUCCCUAGCGUUUAGGAUAAAGGUGUGUUAUGUGCAAGAGGCCGCUAUGUUUCACCUAGUACUUUCCAUUCAUUUGUCUCCUUAUAGUUGUUUUUUAAGACUUAUUUUUUUUAUUAUGUAUACAGUGUUCUGUCUGCAUGUAUGCCUGCACUCCAGCAGAGGGCACCAGAUCUCAUUACAAAUGGUUGUGAGCCAUCAUGUAGGUCCUAGGACUUGAACUCAAGACCUCUGGAAGAGCAGCUAGUGCUAUUAACCAAUGAGUCAUCCCUCCAGCCCCAGUGUCUCCUUAUCCUACACAAGGGCACAGUGUCUCAAUAAAGGCAACUGUUACCUCUCUGUGACAAUCUAAUAAUACAAAACUUAUGUCAGCAAACAUAUACUAUAUCCUUAUGAAUAUAAGACAUUUCUGCUUCAAAUAAUACUAUCAAGAAUGUAAGAAGACAGGUUCAGUGAGAGUGGGUGAGACAAGAGGAGACUGGGGUGAACAUGAUCAAAUUGCAUUAUAAAUGGAUAAAACUGUCAAAGAAUAACUUUUUUAGAAAAUUAAAGAAAUAGUUCUAGUGAGAUGGUUCAAUAGGAAGGGGCUGCUGCCAAGACUGGACACCUGAGAUCAAGCCCUGCUACCCAUAUAGUAGAAGGAGAGAAUUCACUAUGAAAAGUGGCGCUAUGACCUCCAUUGUAUACAUGGUAUGGGUGGGUACAUGCACACAUUUGCAUGAGCGCUCUCUCUCUCACACACACACACAGAGACACACACACUCAACAUAAAUAAAUAAAUGUAAAAACACUUCUGUCAAUAAAAAGAAAAAAAACAGAUAGGUGAAAGACAAUUGUUUCAUAAGGGACUUAUAACCCAAUUAUAAAUAAAAUUUUAAAACAUAUUCACAAAAAAAAAAAGAUAUACAAAAGGCCAGUAAUCACACAAGUGACUGCCAGUGUAACCAGGGACUAGGAAAUGCAAACAGACAUCACAGUGAGAUGACCACCUCAUGCCCACUAACGAGAGAUGGCUGCAAUUGGUUUAGGCACUAGUAGUGCUAAUGAAGAUGUGCAGAAAAGGGACACUGAUUUAGUCCUGCAGUGCUGUAAAUGAUAAAGCCACUCUGGAAAAUGGUUGGCAGAUCCUCAAAUGUUGAAUCCAGCAACUCUACUCCUGGGCCUGAAAACAUGUGUCCAUGCAAAAACUUGAACAUGGAUGCUUACAACUUUAUUAGUCAGAAUACCCCAAAAAACAAAUGCCAAUCAGCUGAUGAGAAGAUAAAGAAAAAGAAGUCUGGUCAUGCAAUGGCAUA